CAAAUUAUCCUCAUAAGUUUGACGAAAAGAGGAACCCUAAUAUUUUUCUUUUUUUCCUUAAUUUUAUUUAUAUCGUAAUUUUACGUUAUUUGUAGAAGGUUAGGAUUAAGAGAAGGUAUCAAAGGGUGGCACAAAAUCGGAGGCCCCGACUGUUUACUAAAAACACAAUUCAGAGCAAUGAUGAAAAAUCAUAGUAUUCUGGAUGAAAUUUGCCCAAUGCCAUUAACAUAAGAGAGGUUAUGGGUGACUGUAACUGAUUGAAAGUCUGGUUAAUAGCGGUCUUAACUAUGAGGAUCCAAAGGUAGCAAAAUAAAUUGGCCAUUAAAUGUGGUCUGGUAUCAAUAGUGUAACGAUGGUCUCACUGUCUCUACAACUUGCUCAGUGAAAUUGAAUUACCCGUGCAGAUGCGGGUUGCCUCCAG
RNAcentral lists this ribosomal RNA (421 nucleotides) under Daedalea confragosa. RNAcentral describes it as "partial mitochondrial large subunit ribosomal RNA". It matches the Rfam family "Bacterial large subunit ribosomal RNA", at positions 1718 to 2075 of the family's 2925-position model. Lineage: Eukaryota; Fungi; Basidiomycota; Agaricomycetes; Polyporales; Fomitopsidaceae. The record is from RNAcentral.